Molecule: ribosomal RNA, 454 nt
Filed under: uncultured bacterium
Lineage: Bacteria
Description: partial 16S ribosomal RNA
Rfam family: Bacterial small subunit ribosomal RNA
Source: RNAcentral
GAUGAACGCUGACAGAAUGCUUAACACAUGCAAGUCCACUUGAACUUCGGUUUGGGUGGCGGACGGGUGAGUAACGCGUACAGAACUUGCCUCACAGAUAGGGACAACAUUUGGAAACGAAUGCUAAUACCUGAUAUUAUGAUUAUAUGGCAUCGUAUAAUUAUGAAAGCUAUAUGCGCUGUGAGAGAGCUUUGCGUCCCAUUAGCUAGUUGGAGAGGUAACGGCUCACCAAGGCGAUGAUGGGUAGCCGGCCUGAGAGGGUGAUCGGCCACAAGGGGACUGAGACACGGCCCUUACUCCUACGGGAGGCAGCAGUGGGGAAUAUUGGACAAUGGACCAAGAGUCUGAUCCAGCAAUUCUGUGUGCACGAUGAAGUUUUUCGGAAUGUAAAGUGCUUUCAGUUGGGAAGAAAAAAAUGACGGUACCAACAGAAGAAGUGACGGCUAAAUACGUG